AAAAAAUUUGCAGAAGGCUGGACUAACAUCCCCUGCUCCUUCCGUGUGGGAAGAGAAGUGUUCCGGAAGAAUUGAGCAUGCUCAGUGAGCUCGCCUUCCUCUGCAAGAAGAGAUUAGGACCUACAGAGAGGCAUCUGGGGCACACAGGCACAGAGGAAAGAUCAUGGGAGGACAUGGCAAGAAGGCGGCCAUCUACAAGCCAAGGUAUAUUAUAGUGAAAUGAAAGUUUAAAAAAGCUACCAAUCUUCCCAAGUUAUUUUCAAAGUCAUUUAUGAAGAGUGUACUCCUUCUACAUAUUAAAAACAGUUUAUUGUAAAACAAUAUGUGGCUGGGUGCAGUAGCCCACUCCUAUAACCCCAGCACUUUGGGAGGCUGAGGCUGGAGGAUUGCUUGAGCCCAGGAGUUUGAGACCAGCCUGGACAACAUGGUGAGACCCCAUCUCUAUAAAAAAACAUGUUUAAAAGUUAGCUGGGUGUGGUGGUGAAUGCCUGUAGUCUCAGCUACUCAGGAGGCUGGGGUAGGAGGAUCUCUUGAGCCCAGGAGGUCAAGGCUGCAGUGAGCCGUUAUGGUGCCGGUGCACUCCAGCCUAGAUGACAGAGUGAGACCCUGUCUCAAAAACAAAACAAAACAAAACAAUUACUGGGUUAUACCAGCAGUAUAAAUGUGUCUUGUUUACUGUGCCUCUUGAUUGCAUUAUUUUCUCUUGUGCUUCAAUUAAUCUCGUGUUGCUUUGUUCAUCACGGUCCUUUUGUCAUAGAAAAUCCAUGGCUAUUGUUGCCAGUAAGAGGCCACAUCAAGUGACUGAUCUUGAAACAAGAGAUUAAGGACCACCAAUGGGUCAAGGAAUUACAGCAGCUUUUAAGGCCCACUGCCUGAGGAGGAGCAGCUUUGCUCAGGUUAUUACUGCAACAAAGGAAGACACAGAGAAGACGCCGAUGCAAUUCUGAAAGGUUACAUCUAUGACUCCAUCAGGACCCUUGCUUGGGCUUGGGGUGAUGUUACCAAGGAAUGUAUAAAUGACAUCUGGAAGAAGACACUCAAGAGGUUCAUCCGUGAUUUCAAGGGAUUUGCCAAGGACAAGGAGGUUGCAAAAACCAACAAGGCUGUGGUUGAGACGGCAAACAAUUUUCACCUGGGGGUGGAAGAGGACGACAUUGAGGAGCUCCUACAGGUGGUUCCUGAGGAACUGACUAAUGAGGAGUUGUUGGAACUGGAACAGGAACACAUACCUGAAGAAGAGGCAAGGAAGAAAAAACUGCAGGAGAAGAAAAAGAAUCCCCAUGAAAAUUCACAGUGAAGAGUUGAGAAGUUUUUGCAGACCUCAGUAAGCGCCUUAAAAAUUUUGAAAACAUGGGCCCCUCAACACCGAAAGGGUUUCAUUAAGAGAGGAAUGUUCUUUGUGCACUGUCUGCUUACAAGCAAAUCUAUGAUGAAAAAGGAAAGCAAGCAAACUACCAUGGACAUAUUUCUGAUGCAUGACAUUGCCUAAGAACCUCAGGUAGGUCUUGUUAUCCUAGCUCCCUGCUUUUUUUUUUUGAGUCAGGGUCUCACCUUGUCACCCAGGCUGGAGUGCAGUGGUGCGGUCAUGGCUCACUGCAGCCUUGACUUCCCAGGCUCAAGCAAUCCUCCCUCCUCAGCCUCCUGAGUAGCUGGGACGACAGGCACGUGCCACCACACCUGGCUAAUUUUUGUAUUUUUUGUAGAGACGGGAUUUCGCCAUGUUGCCCAGGCUGGUCUUAAAUUCCUGGGCUCAAGCGAUCAGCCUGCCCCGGACUCCUGAAGUGCCAGGAUAACUGGCGUGAGCCACUGGGCCCAGCUGUCCCUGCGUGUUAUUGCCCCUGAAGACCUUCCAGCAGGGCAAGAUGAGGAGGUAGGAGACAGAAAUAUCCAUGAAUCUAACC
Symphalangus syndactylus (siamang) is the source of this 1901-nucleotide long non-coding RNA. RefSeq lists it as uncharacterized. The record is from RefSeq and is a predicted model, not a curated record. Lineage: Eukaryota; Metazoa; Chordata; Mammalia; Primates; Hylobatidae.